GGGAAGCAUUUGGAAAAGGUCAUAGAGAAGCUUUUAUAUGUUAUUUUGUACCAACCAGACUCUUUGUCACUCUCUCUCUCACACACACAAUUACUCGAAGUCUAAUAAGAGGGAUUUUUGUCAGGUAUGUGAACGAGAUAUUCUCCUAUCAUUUGAUUGCAAAAGUGGAAAAAUAGAGAAAACAAAUCACAAAUCCUUUUUUUCUGUCACACCCGUCCCCUCGAUUUUUCCAAAGUUAUGAAAUAGAAAACAAGGCAGAACUCAACGCCAACCACCACCCCAAUGUUCAAGCUUUAUUAUUAUAACAUGUUCAAAUACUCCAAAUGGAAACCUGCUCUUGCCUUAUUAAUUACCAGGAAUGCACUCUAGAGUUUCCCUCCAAAACCUUAAUGGUGAAAAAUGUGCCAACGAGAAGCCACAAGGCAUUAGAGUGUUUUUUGCUCCCGGUCCGACCUGCGGGCCCGGGUUUCGUCUGCAGGGGCGGAGCCAAACGAUGGAGCUAUGUAAAAACAGCGGUGGCGGGUUUGGAUCUGUGUUCAAUUGGUCUUUGAACCUCAGUAAUACGAGUUCACCGCCGUAGUUCACGGCAUUAUCGGAAUUUGCACAGAACCAUCAACAAACCUUAGUACAUACACACCAUUGGGGGAUGACAGUUGUUUUUUCCAAUGGGGGAAACUCCCUAAUGGCAUGACAAUAGAAACCCUUUGUUCCCAUGCAAAACAAAUGACAGGAGGUUUUGUAGGACAUUUAUCUACACUGCUGUCAUCAAUAUCACACAGCAAAGUGAAUUAUUCUUUGUAACUAAGCUAUACAUGUACAGAAAACAUAUAUACAUACGUACUUUUUCUUUGAUCAUUUAAUUAUAAAAAAAACAUCAGAUUAACAAAUUAUAGUAAUAAUGAGGCACCAUCCUGGGAAUAAAUAACCACAUUGACGUUGACGUCAACGGUCAAAGUACUAUUCCACAUUACGAGUGAACAAUGAAGGUUGGCAUUUGAGCAGAGGCUACGUGUCUACCGAUUAUCACGGUACACAUGAACUCACUAUCUAAAAUUAUGAGGAAACUUCUAUCAUAUAUAAACAUAACUGUCAAUCUCGCUAACCAAUUUCCCUCACGGUGAGUGAUCGAUCAAAACAACACUAGAACAGCAGCAUGGUACACCAUAGUAAUAUCUAUGGAGCAAUUAUGUAGUUUAGCGGUCCUGCACAAUAAGCCUUUGUAAUGGUAAACUUAAAAAGUUAUUAACAGAAUCUGACCAAUCUCUGCCCUGACAAAAGCCUAAACAGAGAAGUGGCGGUCGACGCGUUUCUUCAACUUUCCUUUUAAACUUGGCGCUGCUGCGCCAAGCUUUGCCGCGUUGACUUGUGUGGGAAGAGAAUCUAAAAAUACCUCCCCCCACGAAAAACUCCAUUUGCUUAUCUGGUCCAUUGUUCAGCAGAGUUAAAGAUUGUCAACCAUGGUUUUCCAUAAAACUAACGUUGUUUCUUCACCUGCCUCCACCAACUUGAGUCAGACUGAAGGCGCUGGAGGUGGGCUUGUUGUUUAAAGUCACAGUGACGUCGAGGCCUUAACGCGAGCAUCCCCCGUUGGGUCUGUGGCCCUCUUCCAAUGACAAAUCGGUGCCGAGUUUGGGACUAAAAAUCCCCCGCAGGUGUGGUUACGGUCUUGGUUUAAUCUUCAUAAAAAGACCUUAUUUCCAACACAUGGUGAGUGCCCCAACACUACUGAGAGGGAACACUUUCCAUCUCAAUGCUGCACCAAAUUCAAAAAAUGUAUCGUCCCAAAUUGGUCACUUACACUUCAGCGACCCAGUGGACGUGGACGCAUGAAACAAAAAGUGUCCGUAGUAAAGAGGUCGGGGUUAAAAGAUUCUUCCUGUUUGGGGCCUUCAGCCUACUCCCAAGACCAGGCAGGUCCACUAUCCUGUGUGGGUAGUAUAAAAGAGAGGGAGGAGUCUUCUUGAUUACCUCCUUUUCAAUGCUGCUUAUCUCCAUGGGCUCAGGUGGUAC
Molecule: long non-coding RNA, 2010 nt
Organism: Gasterosteus aculeatus aculeatus (three-spined stickleback)
Lineage: Eukaryota; Metazoa; Chordata; Actinopteri; Perciformes; Gasterosteidae
Source: Ensembl